UGCAAAUGUGAGACCGCAUCUCCACGCAAGUGGUGAUCUUCAAUCCGUACACGGCUCCUUACCCAGCUUCCAAACGGCACUCCUGGUUUUCCUCUAUAGGGAUACCAGAGUCAAAGGCAGUAAUAAUACCCGCUCUCUCAAGCGGCCAGGUUAAACUGGUCGUGAGUAAGGAGAUGUCUAUGAAUAGCGCUCCUUUAAGACUGUGAGGCGACUCGCAGUGUGCUUACCCAAUCUAACGGGGACUCGAGACGGUAUUGCUAUUUAUCAGUCUGUAGGGAGGCUCAGUUCCUCUCCAGACAACUACGAGUACGGGGGAUUGGUGUUCAAAUCCGGAGAAGGAGCCUUAGAAACGGCUACUGGUACUAAGGUGUACAGCAGGCGCGAAACUUGCCCAAUGGUAGCUCUCUACCGAGGCAGUGACAAGAAAUAAGCACCUUGCUCUCUUUGAGCAAGGGUACUAUGCUACUUUGUAGCUGGUUUACAAUGGUGGAGUCGUAACAGCGCUCCAGAGGAACAAUCAGAGGGAAAGUCAGGUGCCAGCAUCCGCGGUAAUACCUGCUCUGAGAGUUAAUGAUAACGUUGCUGCGGUUAAAACGUUCGUAGCUCAUUUAGGGACUGGGUGUUCAAUGCCAGGUAGAGUCCGUGUCUUCAAAGGUAGUCUUAACUACUUUUGAGGGCAGUAACUUCGGUCACGCUCACUUCGGUGGGUUGAGAUUCUUCCUAUAGUAGCGCUUUAUUGGUAACCUCUCUUCUCAUAGAGGGGACUCUGAUAUUGUUGCUAUGGUGUUGACAAACUGUCUAACCUUUUUAACCUGUGAGCAAAUCAGACAGAUCAAGUGACGAUUGGUUGGGAGCCUUACUCUUCGAGUGAAGCUCCCUAUGAUGUAAUAUGUUCAAGCACAGAACCUCUUAGACUAGCAGCCCCGUGCUGCUGGAAGAGGAAACAAGACCAGACUCAAGUGAACGGUACCUACCGAUCAGGGGUAAAAUCCGUACAGUCAGUAGAGACCAACAGAGGCGAAAGCUGUUCACUAGGGCUGAUCUAUUAGCGAGGGUCGAGAGUCAGGGGAGCAAAGAUGAUUAGAUACCGUCGUAGUCCUGACCGUAAACGAUCCAAGCAAGUGUUGAGGUUGAGCCUCUCGCCAGAUCAACUUUAAAACCCCGGGAAACCUAUAGCCUUCAUGGUCCGGGGGGAGUAUGUUCGCAAGGAUGAAACUUAAAGGAAUUGACGGAAACUUACCACCAGGAGUGGAUUCUGCGGCUUAAUUCGACUCAACGCGUGGAAACUUACCAGGUCCAGACUGCAGGAAGAUUGACAGGCUACAGACCUUUCUUGAUUGGCAAAACAGUGGUGCAUGGUCGUUCUAAGUUCGUGGAUUGGUCUGUCUGCUUAAUUGCGAUAACGAGCGAGAUCUUAGUUGCUACUUGGUAGCUGUUAUCCUCACGGAUACAGGAACAAAGGUCCUCAGAGCUGGCUUCGGCUGGUUUUGAGGUAACCUUCCUCAUAGCAAGACCUCAGGCGAUCUAUUGCAGUCUUAGGGAUGGUGAAGGCCAGAACAGAUCCGUUAUGCCCUUAGAUGUUCUGGGCGGCACGCGUAAUACAAUGCUACAACCAGUAGGCCUGUACUGCGUCCUCUUUGAGGACCAGAGCAUACCAAACUGUAAACGAUACGGCAAACCAACCAAUUCGUUCGUAAAUCUGGGAUCGUGGGUUGCAAGUCCCACGUGAACCAGGAAUUCCUAGUAAGCGAAGGUCAACAUCCUCCAUUGAAUACGUCACUGAGUUUUGUACACACCGCCCGUCGCUCCUACCAAUUGAGAGCACGGAUAAGGUGGAGAGAAGCUGGCUUCGGCUGGCUGAACUCCUCCAAAUCUCUACCCUUGUA
Molecule: ribosomal RNA, 1886 nt
Filed under: Pseudoharpagon pertyi
Lineage: Eukaryota; Heterolobosea; Eutetramitea; Lyromonadida; Psalteriomonadidae
Description: SSU rRNA
Rfam family: Eukaryotic small subunit ribosomal RNA
Source: RNAcentral